CUCAGAUUGAUUAGGAAUCGGGUUUAAACCUCAAAUUCGGAGUCGGGCAAGUGGGUUUAUAGUUCACACGUGAACACAAGACAAGGGUAAGGCUGGCACAGAGCCUUCUCCAAGAUUGGGUUAGUUGGCAACUUUCUUCAACUAUUUGCUUUCUUGAAGGAAAGCAAAUCCGUGGCCCACCUGAGAACAAGCCUCGCAAUAUUCUAACUUGCAAGCUUCCAAAUACCAAUGAGGAAAACUUCAAAUUGAUUUUUUUUUCACGUUCAACCUGCAAAAAUUUAUUUCUUUUUCACCUUUUCUUGAUAUAUUAUAUAAAUCUAACUAUUGUAAAUUGCAAAUGUGUACUCCAAAUCUUUAUUCCUUUUUCUUAUAUAUAUAUAUGUAAUAUUCUGUGGGCCUGUGCCCUGCAGUAGCACCCCACCCCUGCACUUUCAUGGCUACCUUGAGCAUUUAUAGAGAAAAACUCAGAUCUUGAACUUACUAGUUGCGUCCAAAGAUGGGUUUUCAGAUUUGGCUAAGAGGGUUCUGUUCUCUUGUGUUCAUCUUUAGCUGCAGCUUCGUUUCUUUGAGUUCACAAGCUGUAGCUGGUGAUGGUAGUGUAGAAGGGACUGUUUUUAUAGAUGGGAAAACUUCCAUUGGAAAGAUUGAUAAAGAUUUCAUUUGUGCUACUUUGGAUUGGUGGCCUCCUGAGAAAUGUGACUAUGGGACUUGCAGCUGGGACCAUGCUUCUCUCAUUAAUCUGGAUAUUAACAACAAUAUCUUAUUAAAUGCCAUAAAGGCUUUUUCACCAUUGAAGAUCAGAUUGGGAGGCACUUUGCAAGACAAGGUCAUAUAUGACACUGAAGAUAAUAAGGAACCAUGUAAGCAAUUUGUUAAAAAUACCACUGAGAUGUUUGGUUUCACUCAAGGAUGCUUACCCAUGCAUAGAUGGGAUGAAUUAAAUGCCUUUUUCAAUAAAUCAGGGGCUAAAAUUAUAUUUGGAUUAAAUGCUCUCGCCGGGCGGUCCAUACAUUCUGAUGGUUCUGCAACAGGAGCUUGGAACUAUACCAAUGCUGAAUCUUUUAUAAGUUACACUGUGAAACAGAACUACUCUAUUCAUGGUUGGGAGCUUGGAAAUGAAUUGAGUGGGAAUGGAGUUGGAACAAGAAUUGUAGCAAAUCAAUAUGCUGCUGACACGAUCUCCCUGUAUAAGAUAGUGCAAAAUAUUUACGGUGGAGUUAAACCUAAGCCGCUAAUUAUAGCACCUGGAGGAUUCUUCGAUGCAAAUUGGUUUAAAGAAUUCAUCGACAAAACAGGAAAUUCUAUAGAUGUGAUCACCCAUCACAUAUACAAUCUUGGUCCAGGAGUCGAUGAACAUCUUGUUGAAAAGAUUCUUGAUCCGUCCUAUCUUGAUGGUGAGGCUAAUACUUUCAGUGACCUCCAAAAUACCCUCAAGAGUUCUGCAACUUCAGCAAUUGCCUGGGUUGGUGAGGCUGGAGGGGCUUACAACAGUGGCCGGAGCCUUGUUUCAAAUGCUUUUGUUUAUAGUUUCUGGUACUUGGAUCAGCUUGGCAUGGCAUCAGCUUAUGAUACCAAAACAUACUGCAGACAGUCUUUGAUUGGGGGAAAUUAUGGUUUACUCAACACAACUACUUUCGUACCAAAUCCAGACUACUACAGUGCUCUUCUUUGGCACCGAUUGAUGGGCAGAAAUGUCCUGUCAACGAACUUUUCUGGGAUGAAAAAGAUACGUGCUUAUGCUCACUGCACAAAAGAAUCUAAGGGAAUCACAUUACUGCUAAUCAACCUAGACAAUAGCACAACUGUUGAAGUCAAGGUCGCAUUUAAUAGUACAGGGACAUUGCAUCAUCAAAGAAGGCAUCAUAGACCCUAUAAAUCUCAAAGGUCUCAUAAAACAAGGACCAUUCAGCUGCCUCAAGGUUCUGAAAGCAGCACAAGAAAGGAAUACCAUCUAACAGCAAAAGAUGGAAAUUUACACAGCCAAACUAUGCUACUUAAUGGGAACAUUUUAACUGUAAAUUCAGCUGGGGACAUACCUGUCUUGGAGCCUCUAAAUGUAAAUUUAUCAAAGCCAAUAAUGGUUGCACCUUUCUCUGUUGUAUUUGCACACUUGCCAUAUGUUGUCCCUGCUUGCAGCUAGGUAGUACUAGGUGGAACCGAAACUGGUUCCUUAUAAUGAUUGAUCAAAUAAUAGAUAGAAUACAUGCAAAUGUCACAUUAUUUUUUCUUGAUGAAGAAUAUAGUACAAGUCAUUAUAUGAACUAGUCAUACAUAUAUUUUCAAAUAUAAUUCACUCCUUUGUAGUAUGGAGACACACAUCUGCUUUAUGUGGCAAGUCUUACAACACUGUCACCCUGUCAAGAAAUGGAAUGUAAAGUUUAAAUCACUCUCUCAAAGUAUAGUGUUUUUCCCAUAUCAGUUUUCAAAUUAUGAGAACCCACAAAUAAAUUCUCACCGUAUUAAUAUUUAUUUUGUAAUUAUUAAGUUUUAUGUAGUCCUCAUUUAAAAGGAUAUUAGUAAAGUUGGAAAAAUGAUGUAUAGCCCACUAGUAAGAUUUCAUACUUUUAUUCUUCUUUCCAAAAUUUCAAAUAAAUGAUAAAAAUUAGAAUCAAAAUCUAAUAUUUUUUGGGAUAUUUCCUAUUGCAAAUUUAUAAACAUUAAAAGGAAAAAUAAAAUGUAUGGAGCUCAAUUUUUCUAUAUAAUUAUUCUCAAUUUUCAUUUUUAGGAGAAAGGGAAAAAGAUAUUUACUCAAAUACAACACUCUGUUUAUCUCUCCCUUACAAAUAUUUUUUUUUCUUCUAGUUUAUUUCUCAUAAGAAUUUAAACAUUUCAUAGGAGAUUUUAGUUUUAGAAUAUAAAAUAGAAAAAUAAAAAUAAAUAUAUAUUUAGAGACAGUAGAUGAAUCUAAAUAAUGUACAGUUUUUUUAUUGUAAUCAUACAAUACGAAACAAAUAUGGUGCCUACAUAAAUUGCCUGCAGCAGUCCACAGGUAAAUUCCAUUAAGUAGUUAUGUACUCAAUAGUAACAAAUUCUCAAACUCCAAUAUGUUCUCCUUGCUUAAGGACAAAUAGCAGGAGAUGGAACAGCAAAUGAUCAAAUGAAGGAUAAAUAAGAGGAAAUAUUUCUUUUUUUCUUAUUUGACACAUACAGUGAAAGUUCUUUCUGCUAAAAUAAUGAUACAACACAAGGUACGUCGCCAUCAUACAGAUAUUUUGGUGGCCAAGUAUGACAACUUUGUCAAACUAUUACAUGUGGAAUGUGCAAGGGAACCCUUCUUUGUUUUUUGUUGGGGGGGAGGGGCGUUUUGUGUUCGUGUUUGGGGUUGGAGUAGAAAAACAAAACCAGCCUCGUUAGUGUUUAGUGAAGGAUGAAGACAAUUUCACCAAAUACUAUGGAAGAAAUCAAUCAGUAAUAUCUUGAAUGCUGCUUUCUCUUAUUUUAUUGCUCAGAAAAACCAACCUGAACUCAGGAUCCAAAUUAAUCUCUGUUGGAAAAGUUUUGAGGCUUACUGCUUGCAAAUACCAACCAUACAACCGUACCAGUCAAGUAGAAAAAGAUUGAUGGCGCAAACAAUGACAUACUCCAUGAAUGGGUUGUAUCAAGAAGAUAACCAGUCAAGGCAACACCAACAAUCCCAGGUAUUGCUCCAACAGUGUUUGUAAUACCCAACAGUAUACUUGCAUAUUCAGGAGAUAUAUCUUGAUGCGUGCAAUAUAGUCCAGACAGGGCAAAGCUUGAGAGGGCCAAGCCACCGGUUAGAAUCCCCACAAUUUCCCAAGGGGGCAGCCCUAGAUCUACAGAGGAGAGAGUCAUGCAAACGGCAGGAGACAAAAAGGCAACUGCUUGGCAAGUCUUUCGCACCGUAGUUGUUUCAACUCCAUUGGCAAUUAAGUUGUCAGCAAGCUGUGCAGCAAUGCUAGUUACGAAAAUUGAAGCCAAAGGAGGAAGAAUGGAAACCCAUGCAGCUUCUGUCAAAUUUAAGUUCAGCUCCUCACUAAAAUAAGAAGGAAGCCAAGAUAAACAAGUAUAGUGACCCCAGCUUCCACAAAAAUGAGCAUAUAUCAUAGCCCACACGGCUUUACUCUGGAAAAAUGCAUUCCAUGGUAUUUCCUUCAGUGAAUCACCCAAUUCUGCAAGAGAAGUAUUCCAUGAUUUAUCCAAAUUGAUAGACUGGGGCCUUGAUGAGGGUACAGAAGCAUGUGAAGCUUGUUCCUCUUUAAGAAACUGAAAUAUCAAAAACCAAGCUAAUCCAAGAAAGCCAAAAAUGUAAAAUACAGAUUCCCAACCAAAAUUUUGAAUGAGGGGAGGAGCCAAAAGAAGCCCUGUGACACUUCCUAUACUCAGUCCACCAAAGACAAAUGCUACAGCCCGUGAGCGCUCUUCCAAAGGUAUUGAUCUGGCAAUAAGGUCAGUUGCAGCUGAUGGGGAAACACCUUCUCCUAUUCCAACCAAAAUCCUUGACAAGACAAGUCCAGGCAUAAAACCAGCAAGUGAAGGAAGAAAUGCAGUCGCCAAUGACCAAGUCAACACACCAAUUUCAAGAACUUUCCUGCCCCCAAAUAACUUGGCUAACCAACCUCCUGGUAAUUGACUCAAUGCAUAUCCCCAAAAGAAGGAUGAUUGCACCAGCCCAGCCACAGAUGCGUUCCACCCAAACUGGUGAGACAUUGGAAUAAUUGCAACACUCAAAUUUACCUUGUCCAUAUUACAAAUAACAAAGGCAAGUGAAGUAGUGCCAAUAAGUUUAUAUCUCUGAGGAAUAUUAUUCCAUGGCGGGCAAUUCAAAUCAAAACCCACUUCUCUAGAGCCACCAGCAUUUCCUGAUUGAAGCCCAGGAUCCGUAGUUGAACUCCUCUGCUCCAAUCCGUCCACUCGGAGUCCAGUGAUAACAUCAGAGACCCUCUCGCUUUUCUCGACAUUCUCUUUCUCUUUAACGCUACACACAACCCUGAAUUUCAAGCUGCGCUUGGAGGGAAAUAAAUGCAAGUUUUGGGGCUUGACGUUGAGAAACGAAGUAUGUGUGUUUGUGGUGUGAGAGAGAAAGCAACAGCCGUGUGCUUUCAGAGCAAAGUUUGCCAUUUCUUGGAGAAAAUCAAGAAACCAGCCUCUUGUCUAACGAGAAAUAAUUGAAUAAGAAGGACGAAGAAAGAGUGUAUGAAGUUAUGUGACAAGUGAAAGGAGGGAAGCCAUGGGAAAGUCUCCGAGGACUGGAGAUAGCCACGGAGGAGUUUGUUGCUUGUGGCUCUAGGACACUCUUGCUUGGUGGGUUGGGC
Molecule: unclassified non-coding RNA, 5273 nt
Filed under: Hevea brasiliensis (rubber tree)
Lineage: Eukaryota; Viridiplantae; Streptophyta; Magnoliopsida; Malpighiales; Euphorbiaceae
Source: RNAcentral